CCUACGGGUGACAGCAGUGAGGAAUAUUGGUCAAUGGACGAGAGUCUGAACCAGCCAAGUCGCGUGAAGGAUGACUGCCCUAUGGGUUGUAAACUUCUUUUGUAAAGGAAUAAAACGAGGCACGUGUGCCUUUUUGCAUGUACUUUAUGAAUAAGGAUCGGCUAACUCCGUGCCAGCAGCCGCGGUAAUACGGAGGAUCCGAGCGUUAUCCGGAUUUAUUGGGUUUAAAGGGAGCGUAGAUGGGUUGUUAAGUCAGUUGUGAAAGUUUGCGGCUCAACCUUAAAAUUGCAAUUGAUACUGGCAGUCUUGAGUACAGUUGAGGUAGGCGGAAUGCGUGGUGUAGCGGUGAAAUGCUUAGAGAUCACGCAGAACCCCGAUUGCGAAGGCAGCUUACUAAACUGUGACUGACAUUGAUGCUCGAAAGUGUGGGUAGCAAACAGGAUUAGAUACCCCUGUAGUC
RNAcentral lists this ribosomal RNA (460 nucleotides) under uncultured bacterium. Its description in RNAcentral is "partial 16S ribosomal RNA". It matches the Rfam family "Bacterial small subunit ribosomal RNA", at positions 338 to 795 of the family's 1533-position model. The record is from RNAcentral.